This 498-nucleotide ribosomal RNA is filed under the name uncultured bacterium. RNAcentral describes it as "partial 16S ribosomal RNA". It matches the Rfam family "Bacterial small subunit ribosomal RNA", at positions 28 to 507 of the family's 1533-position model. The record is from RNAcentral.
GACGAACGCUGGCGGCGUGCCUAAUACAUGCAAGUCGAACGAGAGCGACCGGUGCUUGCACUGGUCAAUCUAGUGGCGAACGGGUGAGUAACACGUGGGUACCCUGCCCAUCAGAGGGGGAUAACAUUCGGAAACGGAUGCUAAAACCGCAUAGGUCUUCGAACCGCAUGGUUUGAAGGGGAAAAGAGGCGCAAGCUUCUGCUGAUGGAUGGACCCGCGGUGCAUUAGCUAGUUGGUGAGGUAACGGCUCACCAAGGCCGUGAUGCGUAGCCGACCGGCGGGGGGGAUCGGCCACAUGGGAGCUGAGACACGGCCCAGACUCCUACGGGAGGCAGCAGUAGGGAAUGGUCCGCAAUGGACGCAAGUCUGACGGAGCAACGCCGCGUGAGUGAAGAAGGUUUUCGGAUCGUAAAACUCUGUUGUUAGAGAAGAAUAGGUGCUAGAGUAACUGUUAGCGCCGUGACGGUAUCUAAUCAGAAAGCCACGGCUAACUACGUG